RNAcentral lists this transfer RNA (72 nucleotides) under Dipodomys ordii (Ord's kangaroo rat). It matches the Rfam family "tRNA". Rfam says of the family: Transfer RNA (tRNA) molecules are approximately 80 nucleotides in length. Their secondary structure includes four short double-helical elements and three loops (D, anti-codon, and T loops). Further hydrogen bonds mediate the characteristic L-shaped molecular structure. tRNAs have two regions of fundamental functional importance: the anti-codon, which is responsible for specific mRNA codon recognition, and the 3' end, to which the tRNAs corresponding amino acid is attached (by aminoacyl-tRNA synthetases). tRNAs cope with the degeneracy of the genetic code in two manners: having more than one tRNA (with a specific anti-codon) for a particular amino acid; and 'wobble' base-pairing, i.e. permitting non-standard base-pairing at the 3rd anti-codon position. Lineage: Eukaryota; Metazoa; Chordata; Mammalia; Rodentia; Heteromyidae. The record is from Rfam by way of RNAcentral.
GGUAGAAUGACUCAAAUAGAAGAGUACCUGCCUACAAAGCAUGAAGCCCUGAGUUCAACCCAAGUACUACCA